UUGCACACACAAGAACAAAGACCUUCAGUCUUUUGAAAGCUGAGACAGAUACGGCCAGGGCCGCCACAGAGGGAGGCAGAUAUUUUCCCCCCGGCAAGACUCUCCUAUGUUGGUAAUAAUAAGAAUAAAGGGGUGUGUUUGCUGAUGUCUGUCGGACCAUUACCCUGGUGCAUCACCCAAGAGCGCCUCAAGUUCCAAGCACAAAGUGACUGCCAGACAUCCUCCUUCAGGAUUUUCUGAGGGAGCAUCUGAUGCUUGUUUUACCCAGUCAUUUUUUCUUUAGUCUAAAUCUAGCAUUUGGUUUUUAAAAUCACUUUCAGAAGCCCAUGUGGUGGAACUAGG
Oreochromis aureus is the source of this 342-nucleotide long non-coding RNA. NCBI's taxonomy places the organism in Eukaryota, Metazoa, Chordata, Actinopteri, Cichliformes, Cichlidae. The record is from Ensembl.